UCCAGACUCCUACGGGAGGCAGCAGUGAGGAAUAUUGGUCAAUGGCCGAGAGGCUGAACCAGCCAAGUCGCGUGAGGGAUGGCGGCCCUACGGGUUGUAAACCUCUUUUGCCGGGGAGCAAAGAGCGGGACGCGUCCCGCCUCGAGAGUACCCGGAGAAAAAGCAUCGGCUAACUCCGUGCCAGCAGCCGCGGUAAUACGGAGGAUGCGAGCGUUAUCCGGAUUUAUUGGGUUUAAAGGGUGCGCAGGCGGGGGUGCAAGUCAGGGGUCAAAUGGCGGGGCUCAACCUCGUCGAGCCGUUGAAACUGGGUGCCUUGAGUGGGCGAGAAGUACGCGGAAUGCGUGGUGUAGCGGUGAAAUGCAUAGAUAUCACGCAGAACUCCGAUUGCGAAGGCAGCGUACCGGCGCCCAACUGACGCUGAAGCACGAAGGCGUGGGUAUCGAACAGGAUUAGAUACCCCAGUAUA
RNAcentral lists this ribosomal RNA (466 nucleotides) under uncultured bacterium. Its description in RNAcentral is "bacterial SSU rRNA". It matches the Rfam family "Bacterial small subunit ribosomal RNA", at positions 330 to 794 of the family's 1533-position model. The record is from RNAcentral.